UACGGGGGGGGCAAGCGUUGUUCGGAAUUACUGGGCGUAAAGGGCUCGUAGGCGGCCGAUCAAGUCGGGGGUGAAAGCCUGUGGCUCAACCACAGAAUUGCCUUCGAUACUGUUUGGCUUGAGACCGGAAGAGGUUAGUGGAACUGCGAGUGUAGAGGUGAAAUUCGUAGAUAUUCGCAAGAACACCAGUGGCGAAGGCGGCUGACUGGUCCGGUUCUGACGCUGAGGCGCGAAAGCGUGGGGAGCAAACAGG
RNAcentral lists this ribosomal RNA (253 nucleotides) under uncultured bacterium. Its description in RNAcentral is "partial 16S ribosomal RNA". It matches the Rfam family "Bacterial small subunit ribosomal RNA", at positions 524 to 776 of the family's 1533-position model. The record is from RNAcentral.